UUCUAUAGCCAUAUCACCCUGAAAGUGCCUAUCUCAUCUGAUCUUGGAAGCUAAGUAGGAUCAGGCCUGCUUAGUACUUGGAUGGGAGAGUACAGUCAGCCCUCCAUA
RNAcentral lists this ribosomal RNA (108 nucleotides) under Castor canadensis (American beaver). The record is from RNAcentral. Lineage: Eukaryota; Metazoa; Chordata; Mammalia; Rodentia; Castoridae.